GUGUGGUCACUGUAGUGUAACAGAGGUUUUUGUAUGACGGCUUCAUUAGAAUGUAUCACUGUGGUGGCCUUUCGGUGGAGGAACCAAACUCAUCAUCACCGGUCCCGCGGUGAAGCCCUCCGUGUCUCUGCUCCCUCCCUCCUCUCUGCAGCUGUCUGAGGGAUCGGCCUCGCUGCUCUGCCUGCUGUCUGCCUACUCUCCACAGGGGGCGCUGGUGAGCUGGACAGUGGACGGCUCCCAGGUGAAGGACGGGGUUCUGACCAGCGCAGAAGAACAGAAGAAGGACGGUUACACACGCAGCAGCACCCUGACCCUCAGCAAAGCACUCUGGGAAAAGGGGGAGGAGUUUGUCUGUACGGUCUCCCAUGCCGGCGUCAAUCAUCCGGUCACGUUCAGAAAGAGCCAGUGUGAAGCCUAACAGCUCCAAGAUACAAUUUAACACUGAGCUGCUUACACAUCCAUCUACAAUAGAGUUUCAGUUCUACACAAUGCUGACAUUUCUGUCUUUACUCUCUUCACUGUCCUGUUGCUCUUCCUGUAGUUUUGCUCUGCUGAAAUAAAGCUUCAUUUUGGA
Molecule: long non-coding RNA, 574 nt
Organism: Pangasianodon hypophthalmus (striped catfish)
Lineage: Eukaryota; Metazoa; Chordata; Actinopteri; Siluriformes; Pangasiidae
Exons: 2
Source: RefSeq, a predicted model, not a curated record